UCCGAAUUGGUGUAGGGGUCAACAUUGCCGCUUCUCACUUCCGUCAUCCUUAAUUGGGUAGCGUAAUCAGGACGCGGCAGCCCGGGGUUCGAUUCCCCGAUUCGGAA
This is a non-coding RNA of Mycena polygramma, 107 nucleotides long. The record is from the annotation of a GenBank genome assembly. NCBI's taxonomy places the organism in Eukaryota, Fungi, Basidiomycota, Agaricomycetes, Agaricales, Mycenaceae.